This 253-nucleotide ribosomal RNA is filed under the name Taenia serialis. RNAcentral describes it as "partial small subunit ribosomal RNA". Lineage: Eukaryota; Metazoa; Platyhelminthes; Cestoda; Cyclophyllidea; Taeniidae. The record is from RNAcentral.
UUUUAGGGGAAGGUGUGGUGUAAAGGAUGUUCCGCCUAUUAAUUUACUUUUAUUAUGUUGGUGUAUAUCUGGUUUAAUAUUAUUGUUGAAUAAUAUAAGUUUGUGUAAUUUUAUUAGUUAAGCCAAGUCUAUGUGCUGCUUAUAGAAGUAUUCAUGCGUUACUUUAAUAAAGUUUUAGUUGUAAGCACUAUUAUAUUUAGGACUUAAAAGUAAUGUUAAAUUAGUUUGUUAAUGUGAAAUAAGUUUAGCUCAU